GGCCCGCACAAGCGGUGGAGUAUGUGGUUUAAUUCGACGCAACGCGCAGAACCUUACCCAGCCUUGACAUCUUCGGAAUCCCUGCGAAAUCAGGGAGUGCCUCCUUACGGAGGAAUCGAAUGACAGGUGCUGCAUGGCUGUCGUCAGCUCGUGUCGUGAGAUGUUCGGUUAAGUCCGGCAACGAGCGCAACCCCUAUCGUUAGUUGCUACCAGUUCGGCUGGGCACUCUAGCGAGACUCCCGGUGUCAAACCGGCGGAAGAUGGGGAUGACGUCAAGUCCUCAUGGCCCUUAUGGCUGGGGCUACACACGUACUACAAUGGUGACUACAGAGGGCAGCAAGACCGCAAGGUGGAGCCAAUCCCUAAAAGGUCGCCUCAGUUCGGAUUGGAGUCUGCAACUCGACUCCAUGAAGUUGGAAUCGCUAGUAAUCGCGGAU
This 437-nucleotide ribosomal RNA is filed under the name uncultured bacterium. Its description in RNAcentral is "bacterial SSU rRNA". It matches the Rfam family "Bacterial small subunit ribosomal RNA", at positions 918 to 1349 of the family's 1533-position model. The record is from RNAcentral.